Molecule: ribosomal RNA, 3005 nt
Filed under: Salmonella enterica
Lineage: Bacteria; Pseudomonadati; Pseudomonadota; Gammaproteobacteria; Enterobacterales; Enterobacteriaceae
Description: bacterial LSU rRNA
Rfam family: Bacterial large subunit ribosomal RNA
Source: RNAcentral
UUAAGCGACUAAGCGUACACGGUGGAUGCCCUGGCAGUCAGAGGCGAUGAAGGGCGUGCUAAUCUGCGAUAAGCGCCGGUAAGGUGAUAUGAACCGUUAUAACCGGCGAUACCCGAAUGGGGAAACCCAGUGUGACUCGUCACACUAUCAUUAACUGAAUCCAUAGGUUAAUGAGGCGAACCGGGGGAACUGAAACAUCUAAGUACCCCGAGGAAAAGAAAUCAACCGAGAUUCCCCCAGUAGCGGCGAGCGAACGGGGAGGAGCCCAGAGCCUGAAUCAGCAUGUGUGUUAGUGGAAGCGUCUGGAAAGGCGCGCGAUACAGGGUGACAGCCCCGUACACAAAAGCGCAUGUGCUGUGAGCUCGAUGAGUAGGGCGGGACACGUGGUAUCCUGUCUGAAUAUGGGGGGACCAUCCUCCAAGGCUAAAUACUCCUGACUGACCGAUAGUGAACCAGUACCGUGAGGGAAAGGCGAAAAGAACCCCGGCGAGGGGAGUGAAAAAGAACCUGAAACCGUGUACGUACAAGCAGUGGGAGCCCCACCACCAAAGCAUUCUCUGGUGUUGAAGGCCCUGCAAAGCAGCAUCGCGGUGGCGGAGCGUCGUUUGCGACGCCCAACACACAAAACAAGCGGUGAGUGCUUUGGGGUGGGGUGACUGCGUACCUUUUGUAUAAUGGGUCAGCGACUUAUAUUCUGUAGCAAGGUUAACCGAAUAGGGGAGCCGGAGGGAAACCGAGUCUUAAUUGGGCGUUAAGUUGCAGGGUAUAGACCCGAAACCCGGUGAUCUAGCCAUGGGCAGGUUGAAGGUUGGGUAACACUAACUGGAGGACCGAACCGACUAAUGUUGAAAAAUUAGCGGAUGACCUGUGGCUGGGGGUGAAAGGCCAAUCAAACCGGGAGAUAGCUGGUUCUCCCCGAAAGCUAUUUAGGUAGCGCCUCGUGAAUUCAUCUCCGGGGGUAGAGCACUGUUUCGGCUAGGGGGCCAUCCCGGCUUACCAACCCGAUGCAAACUGCGAAUACCGGAGAAUGUUAUCACGGGAGACACACGGCGGGUGCUAACGUCCGUCGUGAAGAGGGAAACAACCCAGACCGCCAGCUAAGGUCCCAAAGUCAUGGUUAAGUGGGAAACGAUGUGGGAAGGCCCAGACAGCCAGGAUGUUGGCUUAGAAGCAGCCAUCAUUUAAAGAAAGCGUAAUAGCUCACUGGUCGAGUCGGCCUGCGCGGAAGAUGUAACGGGGCUAAACCAUGCACCGAAGCUGCGGCAGCGACACUGUGUGUUGUUGGGUAGGGGAGCGUUCUGUAAGCCUGUGAAGGUGUGUCGUGAGGCAUGCUGGAGGUAUCAGAAGUGCGAAUGCUGACAUAAGUAACGAUAAAGCGGGUGAAAAGCCCGCUCGCCGGAAGACCAAGGGUUCCUGUCCAACGUUAAUCGGGGCAGGGUGAGUCGACCCCUAAGGCGAGGCCGAAAGGCGUAGUCGAUGGGAAACGGGUUAAUAUUCCCGUACUUGGUGUUACUGCGAAGGGGGGACGGAGAAGGCUAUGUUGGCCGGGCGACGGUUGUCCCGGUUUAAGCGUGUAGGUGUGUGUUCCAGGUAAAUCCGGUUCACUUUAACACUGAGGCGUGACGACGAGGCACUACGGUGCUGAAGCAACAAAUGCCCUGCUUCCAGGAAAAGCCUCUAAGCAUCAGGUAACACGAAAUCGUACCCCAAACCGACACAGGUGGUCAGGUAGAGAAUACCAAGGCGCUUGAGAGAACUCGGGUGAAGGAACUAGGCAAAAUGGUGCCGUAACUUCGGGAGAAGGCACGCUGACACGUAGGUGAAGUGAUUUACUCAUGGAGCUGAAGUCAGUCGAAGAUACCAGCUGGCUGCAACUGUUUAUUAAAAACACAGCACUGUGCAAACACGAAAGUGGACGUAUACGGUGUGACGCCUGCCCGGUGCCGGAAGGUUAAUUGAUGGGGUCAGCGCAAGCGAAGCUCCUGAUCGAAGCCCCGGUAAACGGCGGCCGUAACUAUAACGGUCCUAAGGUAGCGAAAUUCCUUGUCGGGUAAGUUCCGACCUGCACGAAUGGCGUAAUGAUGGCCAGGCUGUCUCCACCCGAGACUCAGUGAAAUUGAACUCGCUGUGAAGAUGCAGUGUACCCGCGGCAAGACGGAAAGACCCCGUGAACCUUUACUAUAGCUUGACACUGAACAUUGAGCCUUGAUGUGUAGGAUAGGUGGGAGGCUUUGAAGUGUGGACGCCAGUCUGCAUGGAGCCGACCUUGAAAUACCACCCUUUAAUGUUUGAUGUUCUAACGUGGACCCGUGAUCCGGGUUGCGGACAGUGUCUGGUGGGUAGUUUGACUGGGGCGGUCUCCUCCUAAAGAGUAACGGAGGAGCACGAAGGUUGGCUAAUCCUGGUCGGACAUCAGGAGGUUAGUGCAAUGGCAUAAGCCAGCUUGACUGCGAGCGUGACGGCGCGAGCAGGUGCGAAAGCAGGUCAUAGUGAUCCGGUGGUUCUGAAUGGAAGGGCCAUCGCUCAACGGAUAAAAGGUACUCCGGGGAUAACAGGCUGAUACCGCCCAAGAGUUCAUAUCGACGGCGGUGUUUGGCACCUCGAUGUCGGCUCAUCACAUCCUGGGGCUGAAGUAGGUCCCAAGGGUAUGGCUGUUCGCCAUUUAAAGUGGUACGCGAGCUGGGUUUAGAACGUCGUGAGACAGUUCGGUCCCUAUCUGCCGUGGGCGCUGGAGAACUGAGGGGGGCUGCUCCUAGUACGAGAGGACCGGAGUGGACGCAUCACUGGUGUUCGGGUUGUCAUGCCAAUGGCACUGCCCGGUAGCUAAAUGCGGAAGAGAUAAGUGCUGAAAGCAUCUAAGCACGAAACUUGCCCCGAGAUGAGUUCUCCCUGAGACUUAGAGUCUCCUGAAGGAACGUUGAAGAUGACGACGUUGAUAGGCCGGGUGUGUAAGCGCAGCGAUGCGUUGAGCUAACCGGUACUAAUGAACCGUGAGGCUUAACCUU